Molecule: ribosomal RNA, 472 nt
Filed under: uncultured bacterium
Lineage: Bacteria
Description: bacterial SSU rRNA
Rfam family: Bacterial small subunit ribosomal RNA
Source: RNAcentral
AGGACGAACGCUGGCGGCGUGCUUCAUACAUGCAAGUCGAACGAGAAGCUGACUUCGGUCAGUGGAAAGUGGCGGACGGGUGAGUAAUAUGUAGAGAAUCUGCCCUUGAGUGGGGGACAACAGAGGGAAACUUCUGCUAAUACCCCAUAUGAGCUAACUUGAAAUAGUUAUCUUGAAAACUCCAGUGCUCAAGGAUGAGUCUGCAUCUGAUUAGCUAGUUGGCGGUGUAAUGGACCACCAAGGCGACGAUCAGUAGCUGGUUUGAGAGGAUGAUCAGCCACAAUGGGACUGAGACACGGCCCAUACUCCUACGGGAGGCAGCAGUAGGGAAUUUUGCGCAAUGGGCGAAAGCCCUGACGCAGCAACGCCGCGUGAACGAUUAAGCCCUUCGGGGUGUAAAGUUCUGUCAGUAGGGACGAAUUUUGACGGUACCUACAGAGGAAGCACCGGCUAACUCCGUGCCAGCCGCGGC